UAGGGAAUAUUAGUAAUGGGCGAAAGCCUGAACUAGCAACACCGCGUGUGCGAAGAAGGCCUUCGGGUUGUAAAGCACUUUUUGAGAGUAUGAGGAAGGACGGUACUCUCAGAAUAAGUCUCGGCUAACUACGUGCCAGCAGCCGCGGUAACACGUAGGAGGCAAACGUUAUCCGGAUUUAAUGGGCGUAAAGCGCGUGUAGGUGGUUUGGUAAGUAGAGCGUGAAAGCUCCUGGCUCAACUGGGAGGGGUCGUUCUAAACUGCCGGACUAGAGGAUGGUAGAGGGAGGUGGAAUUCCGGGUGUAGCGGUGGAAUGCGCAGAUAUCCGGAGGAACACCAGUGGCGAAAGCGGCCUCCUGGACCACUCCUGACACUCAGACGCGAAAGCUAGGGUAGCAAACG
RNAcentral lists this ribosomal RNA (402 nucleotides) under uncultured prokaryote. RNAcentral describes it as "bacterial SSU rRNA". It matches the Rfam family "Bacterial small subunit ribosomal RNA", at positions 355 to 774 of the family's 1533-position model. The record is from RNAcentral.